Molecule: transfer RNA, 71 nt
Filed under: Phrynosoma platyrhinos (Desert horned lizard)
Lineage: Eukaryota; Metazoa; Chordata; Lepidosauria; Squamata; Phrynosomatidae
Description: tRNA-OTHER
Source: RNAcentral
GCCAGCGUGGCCUAGUGGUUUGAGCUUUGGACUAGGACUCUGGAGAUCGGGAUUCAAUUCCCAGCUUGGCC